This is a long non-coding RNA of Solea solea (common sole), 398 nucleotides long. RefSeq lists it as uncharacterized. The record is from RefSeq and is a predicted model, not a curated record. The transcript has 3 exons. Lineage: Eukaryota; Metazoa; Chordata; Actinopteri; Pleuronectiformes; Soleidae.
GCUCGGACACUGGACUCACCAGGCUGUGGGCUCAAAGAGAUUUGGUGCGGAUCAUUUACACUAAACCGGAUUAGUCACAUCGGCCAACUCCAUCUGAUGUGGUCUGACGUGGCCAUGUGUGGAGAAAGUGUUCCAUAAGAUCUACAGGAUCUCACUGUCACAUCAGGAACACGGACAAAAGAGUCCACGUGGUCGUCGUGGAAAUGGUUUGACUCAACUAUCCAGACGACACUGACAUCAGAGAGCAGACUCUCGGCCUUGUUUCCCUCUCAGAUUCUUAUUUUGUCUGAUCCAGGAAGCUAUUUCCUAAUCUGUCCAGUGGCGAUGCGUUGACAAAAGAGAUCAGAGGGAUGGAAAAUGGCUCUGUCUUUGUUCACAAUAAUAAUGGGAAGUCAUUA